This 802-nucleotide ribosomal RNA is filed under the name Ophiocordycipitaceae sp. RNAcentral's name for it is "partial large subunit ribosomal RNA". It matches the Rfam family "Eukaryotic large subunit ribosomal RNA", at positions 81 to 914 of the family's 3401-position model. The record is from RNAcentral. Lineage: Eukaryota; Fungi; Ascomycota; Sordariomycetes; Hypocreales; Ophiocordycipitaceae.
CAGUAACGGCGAGUGAAGCGGCAACAGCUCAAAUUUGAAAUCUGGCCCCCAGGGCCCGAGUUGUAAUUUGCAGAGGAUGCUUUUGGCGCGGUGCCUUCCGAGUUCCCUGGAACGGGACGCCAUAGAGGGUGAGAGCCCCGUCUGGUCGGACGCCUAGCCUGUGUAAAGCUCCUUCGACGAGUCGAGUAGUUUGGGAAUGCUGCUCUAAAUGGGAGGUAUAUGUCUUCUAAAGCUAAAUACCGGCCAGAGACCGAUAGCGCACAAGUAGAGUGAUCGAAAGAUGAAAAGCACUUUGAAAAGAGGGUUAAAUAGUACGUGAAAUUGUUGAAAGGGAAGCGCUUGUGACCAGACUUGGGCCCGGUGGAUCAUCCAGCGUUCUCGCUGGUGCACUCCGCCGGGUUCAGGCCAGCAUCAGUUCGCCGCGGGGGAAAAAGGCUUCGGGAACGUGGCUCCUACGGGAGUGUUAUAGCCCGUUGCAUAAUACCCUGGGGCGGACUGAGGUUCGCGCUCCGCAAGGAUGCUGGCGUAAUGGUCAUCAGCGACCCGUCUUGAAACACGGACCAAGGAGUCGUCUUCGUAUGCGAGUGUUCGGGUGUAAAACCCCUACGCGUAAUGAAAGUGAACGCAGGUGAGAGCUUCGGCGCAUCAUCGACCGAUCCUGAUGUUCUCGGAUGGAUUUGAGUAAGAGCAUACGGGGCCGGACCCGAAAGAAGGUGAACUAUGCCUGUAUAGGGUGAAGCCAGAGGAAACUCUGGUGGAGGCUCGCAGCGGUUCUGACGUGCAAAUCGAUCGUCAAAUAUGG